Molecule: long non-coding RNA, 1155 nt
Filed under: Trifolium pratense (red clover)
Lineage: Eukaryota; Viridiplantae; Streptophyta; Magnoliopsida; Fabales; Fabaceae
Description: long non-coding RNA (TPRA_LNC006856)
Source: RNAcentral
UUCGAUCAAAACGACAUAAUAGAAGCUAUAAAGAAACAUCACUUCCAUGGUCAGGUUGCCAUUAAACCUGAAUUCCAUUGCAGACCAAUAUCACAAUCAGGAUCAAAACCACCAAGUCCACUAUCAUCAGAGUUAUUAGAGAUAAGGCUGUGUGUAGAUCAUGAUGGAUUUAACUACUUUAACUGUACAAGUGGUGGAAAUUGUGGACAAAAAUUUGAAUGGUUUAUAUGAAUGAAUGAUACUAGUACGUACUACUAUGUCUUCUGUACUAAAUAACACAUAUGUCUGUCUAUGGCAGACAUCCUUAAUUUUAAAGGGAAUUUAUAAUUUAAAUAUAUGGUAUACUUCUGUCUGUGGAACAAACAAACUAUAUGGUAAUAAUAUAUGUUAUUCAUUUUGAUUAAUGUUACUUACUUCUGUCUAUGGCAUCCUUUUAUUUAUUUAUUUAUUUAUUUAUUUAUUUUAAAGGGAAUAUACGGUAAUAAUGAUGUAGGAUUUUGAUUGUGCAUGAGAGAGACUGAGUGAAAGUUUCAUACAUUUCAACCACAAGUUAAUUUCUUUUGUUAACUUCAUUAGUCACAUUAAUUAGUAUAGUGAAAACAAAAACUGUACUAAACAAAAAAUAAUAAACCAAAUGAAGUUUAUGAAAUCAAGAUACCGCAAGAAAAUGGAAAAUAUGAUAUGCUAUAGUUUUAAUCAUAAGCUGUCAAAAUUUGGCAAACCAGAAGCAUGCAUGCAUGAUUGAUCUGUACAUUGUCUGCCUUCAUUGAAACGUUCUCAACAUAUUUCUUGGAUUUAUCAUAUUUCUUGGGUCGCCUAUCCAAGUAUAACAAACAAAUAACAUUAUGUUUCUAACUAUGUGAAGUGAAAUUAUUUUUGUAUUUGUUUCAAUUUGUGUCUAGACUUCAUUUACCCCGACUGCAUUCAGACAUCACUUCAACUGUCAUUCUGUUUAUCAAUCUUCGGAUCAAAUGGACCUUUAGGGUUUCUGCCAUUAUGAAGGAAAAAUUGUGUUCAUAACACCUACUGCGGAAUAAAAUUGUGUUCCAAACUUAGAAACAAUUCUAUAGGUCCUGUUCUUACUGUUUACCAAUUAAAACCCUACACCUGGCUUAAUUUAUUCCACAUCAGAUUUUAAUUUCAACGAAAAUUACG